UAUUGCACAAUGGAGGAAACUCUGAUGCAGCGACGCCGCGUGAGGGAAGACGGUCUUCGGAUUGUAAACCUCUGUUCUCUGUGAGGAUGAUGACGGUAGCAGAGGAGGAAGCUCCGGCUAACUACGUGCCAGCAGCCGCGGUAAUACGUAGGGAGCGAGCGUUGUCCGGAUUUACUGGGUGUAAAGGGUGCGUAGGGGGCUGUGCAAGUCAGUAGUGAAAUCCAUGGGCUUAACCCAUGAACUGCUAUUGAAACUGCACAGCUUGAGUGAAGUAGAGGUAGGCGGAAGUCCCGGUGUAGCGGUGAAAUGCGUAGAGAUCGGGAGGAACACCAGUGGCGAAGGCGGCCUACUGGACUUUAACUGACGCUGAGGCACGAAAGCGUGGGUAGCAAACAGG
Molecule: ribosomal RNA, 397 nt
Filed under: uncultured bacterium
Lineage: Bacteria
Description: bacterial SSU rRNA
Rfam family: Bacterial small subunit ribosomal RNA
Source: RNAcentral